This 1415-nucleotide long non-coding RNA is filed under the name Bemisia tabaci. Its description in RNAcentral is "lncRNA ENSSSA1UGG007586". The record is from RNAcentral. Lineage: Eukaryota; Metazoa; Arthropoda; Insecta; Hemiptera; Aleyrodidae.
UCCUAGAGAACACCAGAAAAUCUGAAAGAUCAAGGGUAGGAUGAUACGCAAAUUAAGCUCCAUCGCUUUUGAGCCGAGUUUCUUGGGUUAUUGAGUGUUUGACAGCUGCUGUUAUUACGUGGAGCCACCAGUGUAACGCGCGUUUUAGCUGUUGUCGUACGUGCACCAAGCUAAACCGUUAAUUUCCAUAAGUUUGUGCCUGACCGUUGCCCUCCUCUGCGUGCUAAAGCAAACCGCGUGUUUCGUGAUACCGGAAACGGUGGAUAAAUAUAUAUACUACCGCUUAAUAAGACGGUACUGCGCAGCGGCACAUUCUUAUGCAAGCGAGGUGUCGGGAUUUAAGCAACAGAACUUUCGCCGCGCACAGUCUAUUCUACAUAGGUGGAAACUGCACACGAGAACCUAUACGAAAAUAUCAAACAAAUUUUGAGUUCUGGUGUUGCGAAAAUAGUCCUUAACAGAACAGGCAUGCUUCCAGUCUGCAGGCUGAUUGUUGAAAUUGAUAGACAAAGCGAUGGACAAAGAUGACACAGGGAGAAUUGAGCGAUCCUAUUGGUUGGAAUGGUUGGUUCCUUUAGACUAGAAAGAAAAUGAUGGACUGACUAAAGGGUCUCCCGUGGGCUGCCGUUAGUUAGUCUAUUACCUACUUCUUUUGUCCAUUGCAACCACCCGCUUCCACCAAUAGGAUCCCUCCUUAUCCUUUUUGGUUGUUUUUUGUAUAUAUAUUCGUCUAUCAAUUUCAACAAUCAGCCCGCUGUCGAAAACUAUUUAAUCGUUAUAUUGUACCUGCGAUCAGCUUGAGAGAAAUGUGAAAAUCGUAAACGGCUCCGUAAUUGUGCAAUGAGGCCAAAGUCUGCAAAGAGGUGUUAAAAAAUUAUCCGUCCCCUCCUUUCGGGGAAAGAAAGACUGAACGCCAUUCGAAGGUUGCAAAUUAAUUCAAAACAUUCAAUUUUACAUGAGAAAAUGCUUGCGCAGUAUAGAAAAGUAAAAUAGAGACUGAAGAAACAUAGAGGAGUUAAGAUUUAAAAGAAUAGGUUAGUGUUGAAAAACAUAAUGCACCUUAGUAAAAUAAAAGGUGGUACUAGACGAGGAGUUUCUCAAUUUACCAGUGCUACUGAUGAAAGGGCUGCGAUAGCCUCGAAACGCGUCUAGCGUCACGGUUUAUUUUAUUGAGGUAAAUGGAGUUUUCCAAUACAAAACCCUUUUUUUUUAAAAUGCUUGUGCAAUUGGACGUAUUUCUUCCAAACGAAACUAUGUGCAUCAAGACAUGAGCCCUGAGACCCAUAAAAAUAUAUAUUUUGUACUUAUAUAUUAUAUACAGGGUGUCCCAAAAGUCCGUACCCCCCCUCGUAACUUUUGAACAGUUAGAGAUAGAAAAACGAAAUUUUUGGGAAUGUUUCUAUCUUAAAGGAGAC